RNAcentral lists this signal recognition particle RNA (265 nucleotides) under Candidatus Abyssobacteria bacterium SURF_5. RNAcentral's name for it is "Candidatus Abyssubacteria bacterium SURF_5 signal recognition particle sRNA large type". It matches the Rfam family "Bacterial large signal recognition particle RNA". Rfam says of the family: The signal recognition particle (SRP) is a universally conserved ribonucleoprotein involved in the co-translational targeting of proteins to membranes. Archaeal SRP consists of a 7S RNA and homologues of the eukaryotic SRP19 and SRP54 proteins. Lineage: Bacteria; Pseudomonadati; Candidatus Hydrogenedentota; Candidatus Abyssobacteria. The record is from RNAcentral.
UCGUGCUAGAUGGGGAGUUAGCGGUGCCCUGUACUCGCAACCCGCUUUAGCGAGAUCGAAUUCCCGUCUGAGGUUUGAUGGAUCAGGUGUCUGCGCCGGAUACGCCGGCGAUGAGGAGCGGGUCCUUCGCAAUCGGAUAUUGCCCAACCCCGCCAGGCCCGGAAGGGAGCAGCGGUAAGCGACUGUCCGGUGUGCCGGAGGUAACCUGGUCUGAGUUGGCGGUCCGGAAAGCGGCCUGUGAAGUGAAUCGAGGGCGGGUGCACGA